RNAcentral lists this ribosomal RNA (496 nucleotides) under uncultured bacterium. Its description in RNAcentral is "partial 16S ribosomal RNA". It matches the Rfam family "Bacterial small subunit ribosomal RNA", at positions 28 to 507 of the family's 1533-position model. The record is from RNAcentral.
GAUGAACGCUGGCGGCGUGCCUAAUACAUGCAAGUCGAGCGAACAGACGAGGAGCUUGCUCCUCUGACGUUAGCGGCGGACGGGUGAGUAACACGUGGAUAACCUACCUAUAAGACUGGGAUAACUUCGGGAAACCGGAGCUAAUACCGGAUAAUAUAUUGAACCGCAUGGUUCAAUAGUGAAAGACGGUUUUGCUGUCACUUAUAGAUGGAUCCGCGCCGCAUUAGCUAGUUGGUAAGGUAACGGCUUACCAAGGCAACGAUGCGUAGCCGACCUGAGAGGUGAUCCGCCACACUGGAACUGAGACACGGUCCAGACUCCUACGGGAGGCAGCAGUAGGGAAUCUUCCGCAAUGGGCGAAAGCCUGACGGAGCAACGCCGCGUGAGUGAUGAAGGUCUUCGGAUCGUAAAACUCUGUUAUUAGGGAAGAACAAAUGUGUAAGUAACUAUGCACGUCUUGACGGUACCUAAUCAGAAAGCCACGGCUAACUACGUG